This 465-nucleotide ribosomal RNA is filed under the name uncultured bacterium. RNAcentral's name for it is "partial 16S ribosomal RNA". It matches the Rfam family "Bacterial small subunit ribosomal RNA", at positions 339 to 795 of the family's 1533-position model. The record is from RNAcentral.
CUACGGGUUGCUGCAGUGGGGAAUAUUGGACAAUGGGGGAAACCCUGAUCCAGCAAUGCCGCGUGUGUGAAGAAGGCCUGCGGGUUGUAAAGCACUUUCGGUUGGGAGGACUGCUUCUAGCACUAAUAUUGUUGGAAGUUGACGUUACCUUCAGAAGAAGCACCGGCUAACUCCGUGCCAGCAGCCGCGGUAAUACGGAGGGUGCGAGCGUUAAUCGGAAUUACUGGGCGUAAAGCGCGCGUAGGCGGCUAGAUCAGUCGGUUGUGAAAGCCCCGGGCUUAACCUGGGAACUGCCUCCGAUACUGUCUAGCUUGAGUACAGGAGAGGAGAGUGGAAUUCCACAUGUAGCGGUGAAAUGCGUAGAUAUGUGGAGGAACACCAAUGGCGAAGGCAGCUCUCUGGCCUGAUACUGACGCUGAGGUGCGAAAGCGUGGGGAGCAAACAGGAUUAGAUACCCUCGUAGUC